GUACUUGCUUCAGCAGCACAGAUACUAAAAUUAUAAUCAUCAGAGAAGAUUAGCAUUGCCCCUGUGCAAGGAUGACACACAAUUUGUGAAACAUUCCAUAUUUUU
Molecule: small nuclear RNA, 105 nt
Organism: Sciurus vulgaris (Eurasian red squirrel)
Lineage: Eukaryota; Metazoa; Chordata; Mammalia; Rodentia; Sciuridae
Source: Ensembl